CACGUAGGGUGCGAGCGUUGUCCGGAAUUAUUGGGCGUAAAGAGCGUGUAGGCGGUUUGGUAGGUCCGCUGUGAAAACUACGAGGCUCAACCUCGAGACGCCGGAUGGAAACCAUCGAACUAGAGUCCGGAAGAAGGAGAGUGGAAUUCCGUGGAUGUAGCGGUGAAAUGCGCAGAUAUCAGGAGGAACACCGACAGCGAAAGGCAGCACUCGUGGGCCGGUACUGACGCUGAGGAGCGGAAAGCAUGGGGAGCGAACAGG
RNAcentral lists this ribosomal RNA (261 nucleotides) under uncultured bacterium. RNAcentral's name for it is "partial 16S ribosomal RNA". It matches the Rfam family "Bacterial small subunit ribosomal RNA", at positions 524 to 776 of the family's 1533-position model. The record is from RNAcentral.